Molecule: ribosomal RNA, 253 nt
Filed under: uncultured bacterium
Lineage: Bacteria
Description: partial 16S ribosomal RNA
Rfam family: Bacterial small subunit ribosomal RNA
Source: RNAcentral
UACGUAGGGUGCAAGCGUUGUCCGGAAUUAUUGGGCGUAAAGAGCUCGUAGGCGGCUUGUCGCGUCGUCCGUGAAAACCCAUGGCUCAACUGUGGGCUUGCGGUCGAUACGGGCAGGCUGGAGUUCGGUAGGGGAGACUGGAAUUCCUGGUGUAGCGGUGAAAUGCGCAGAUAUCAGGAGGAACACCGGUGGCGAAGGCGGGUCUCUGGGCCGAUACUGACGCUGAGGAGCGAAAGCGUGGGGAGCGAACAGG